GCCAGCAGCCAUACCGCCUGCAGUUCAGACCUGACAGUCCUUGUGAAACUAAGCAGGUUUGGGCCUGUCUGGUACUUGGAUAAGAGACAAAGUAGGAAACUUGGGUUGUUGCUGAAA
This 117-nucleotide ribosomal RNA is filed under the name Paramormyrops kingsleyae. The record is from RNAcentral. Lineage: Eukaryota; Metazoa; Chordata; Actinopteri; Osteoglossiformes; Mormyridae.